Molecule: ribosomal RNA, 779 nt
Filed under: bacterium LFT13
Lineage: Bacteria
Description: bacterial SSU rRNA
Rfam family: Bacterial small subunit ribosomal RNA
Source: RNAcentral
CGAGCGCGCCUUUCGGGGUGAGCGGCGGACGGGUUAGUAACGCGUGGGAAUAUGCCCUUUGGUACGGAAUAGCCUCUGGAAACGGAGAGUAAUACCGUAUGAGCCCUUCGGGGGAAAGAUUUAUCGCCAAAGGAUUAGCCCGCGUUAGAUUAGGUAGUUGGUGGGGUAAUGGCCUACCAAGCCUACGAUCUAUAGCUGGUUUUAGAGGAUGAUCAGCAACACUGGGACUGAGACACGGCCCAGACUCCUACGGGAGGCAGCAGUGGGGAAUCUUGGACAAUGGGGGCAACCCUGAUCCAGCCAUGCCGCGUGAGUGAUGAAGGCCUUAGGGUCGUAAAGCUCUUUCGCCUGUGAAGAUAAUGACGGUAGCAGGUAAAGAAACCCCGGCUAACUCCGUGCCAGCAGCCGCGGUAAUACGGAGGGGGUUAGCGUUGUUCGGAAUUACUGGGCGUAAAGCGCACGUAGGCGGAUCGGAAAGUUGGGGGUGAAAUCCCGGGGCUCAACCCCGGAACUGCCUCCAAAACUAUCGGUCUAGAGUUCGAGAGAGGUGAGUGGAAUUCCGAGUGUAGAGGUGAAAUUCGUAGAUAUUCGGAGGAACACCAGUGGCGAAGGCGGCUCACUGGCUCGAUACUGACGCUGAGGUGCGAAAGUGUGGGGAGCAAACAGGAUUAGAUACCCUGGUAGUCCACACCGUAAACGAUGAAUGCCAGUCGUCGGGUAGCAUGCUAUUCGGUGACACACCUAACGGAUUAAGCAUUCCGCCUGGGGAGUACGGUCGC